Molecule: ribosomal RNA, 253 nt
Filed under: uncultured bacterium
Lineage: Bacteria
Description: partial 16S ribosomal RNA
Rfam family: Bacterial small subunit ribosomal RNA
Source: RNAcentral
UACGUAGGGGGCUAGCGUUGUCCGGAAUCACUGGGCUUAAAGGGCGCGUAGGCGGGUCGGCCAGUCUGUGGUGAAAUCCCCCGGCUCAACCGGGGAAUUGCCGCGGAUACUGCCGGUCUCGAGGAGGGUAGGGGCAUCUGGAACGAGCGGUGGAGCGGUGAAAUGCGUUGAUAUCGCUCGGAACUCCGGUGGCGAAGGCGAGAUGCUGGACCCUUUCUGACGCUGAGGCGCGAAAGCCAGGGGAGCAAACGGG